Molecule: ribosomal RNA, 380 nt
Filed under: uncultured eukaryote
Lineage: Eukaryota
Description: partial 18S ribosomal RNA
Rfam family: Eukaryotic small subunit ribosomal RNA
Source: RNAcentral
CAAUAGCGUAUAUUAAAGUUGUUGCGGUUAAAAAGUUCGUAGUUGGAUUUCUGCCAAGGACGACCGGUCCGCCCUCUGGGUGAGUAUCUGGCUUGGCCUGGGCAUCUUCUUGGAGAACGUUGCUGCACUUCGCUGUGUGGCGCGGUAUCCAGGACCUUUACUUUGAGGAAAUUAGAGUGUUUCAAGCAGGCUUUCGCCUUGAAUACAUUAGCAUGGAAUAAUAAGAUAGGACCUCGGUUCUAUUUUGUUGGUUUCUAGAGCUGGGGUAAUGAUUAAUAGGGAUAGUUGGGGGCAUUCGUAUUUAACUGUCAGAGGUGAAAUUCUUGGAUUUGUUAAAGACGGACUACUGCGAAANCANNNGCGAAGGAUGUUUUCAUNGA